RNAcentral lists this ribosomal RNA (514 nucleotides) under uncultured bacterium. RNAcentral describes it as "bacterial SSU rRNA". It matches the Rfam family "Bacterial small subunit ribosomal RNA", at positions 16 to 518 of the family's 1533-position model. The record is from RNAcentral.
AUUCUGGCUCAGGAUGAACGCUAGCUACAGGCUUAACACAUGCAAGUCGAGGGGCAGCAUGUUGGUUGCUUGCAACCAAUGAUGGCGACCGGCGCACGGGUGAGUAACGCGUAUCCAACCUUCCCCUUAGUAGAGGAUAGCCCGGCGAAAGUCGGAUUAAUACUCUAUGUUCUUCAAUGCGGGCAUCUAAGUUGAAGCAAAGAUUUAUCGCUAAGGGAUGGGGAUGCGUCUGAUUAGGUUGCAGGCGGGGUAACGGCCCACCUGGCCUACGAUCAGUAGGGGUUCUGAGAGGAAGGUCCCCCACACUGGUACUGAGACACGGACCAGACUCCUACGGGAGGCAGCAGUGAGGAAUAUUGGUCAAUGGGCGCGAGCCUGAACCAGCCAAGUAGCGUGCAAGGACGACUGCCCUAUGGGUUGUAAACUGCUUUUAUCAGGGAAUAAAGUGAGGCACGCGUGCCUUUUUGUAUGUACCUGAUGAAUAAGGACCGGCUAAUUCCGUGCCAGCCGCAGC